CAGUUGUGUGUGUGAGCAUUUCAGUUGUGUGUGUGAGCACGUUUCAGUUGUGUGUGAGAGCGCGUUUCAGUUGUGUGUGUGAGCGCGUUUCAGUUGUGUGUGUGAGCGCGUUUCAGUUGUGUGUGUGAGCGCGUUUCACUUGUGUGUGUGAGCGCGUUUCACUUGUGUUUGUGUGUGAGAGCAUUUCACUUGUGUGUGUGAGCGCGUUUCAGUUUUGUGUGUGUGAGAGCGUUUCACUUGUGUGUGUGAGCGCGUUUCAGUUGUGUGUGUGAGCAUAAUAAUUUCAUAUGUGAAUGAAUUUAGUUUCAUAUGUGUAUGUGCAUGGUAAUUCUGAAUAAUGUCCCUAGGG
Rhinichthys klamathensis goyatoka is the source of this 349-nucleotide long non-coding RNA. RefSeq lists it as uncharacterized. The record is from RefSeq and is a predicted model, not a curated record. NCBI's taxonomy places the organism in Eukaryota, Metazoa, Chordata, Actinopteri, Cypriniformes, Leuciscidae. The transcript has 4 exons.